GUCUACGGCCGUACCACCCUGAACAUACCCGAUCUUGUCUGAUCUCGAAAGCUAAGCAGGGUCAGGCCUGGUUAGUACUUGGAUGGGAGAUAACUACAACCAACUUUAUUACCCUAUACU
Bison bison bison is the source of this 120-nucleotide ribosomal RNA. NCBI's taxonomy places the organism in Eukaryota, Metazoa, Chordata, Mammalia, Artiodactyla, Bovidae. The record is from Ensembl.